UGGGGAAUAUUGCACAAUGGGCGAAAGCCUGAUGCAGCAACGCCGCGUGAGUGAUGAAGGCCUUCGGGUUGUAAAGCUCUGUCUUUUGGGACGAUAAUGACGGUACCAAAGGAGGAAGCCACGGCUAACUACGUGCCAGCAGCCGCGGUAAUACGUAGGUGGCAAGCGUUGUCCGGAUUUACUGGGCGUAAAGGAUGCGUAGGCGGAUUUUUAAGUGAGAUGUGAAAAACCCUAAGCUUAACUUGGGGACUGCAUUUCAUACUGGAAAUCUAGAGUGCGGGAGAGGAGAAUGGAAUUCCUAGUGUAGCGGUGAAAAUGCGUAGAGAUUAGGAAGAACACCAGUGGCGAAAGGCGAUUCUCUGGACCGUAACUGACGCUGAGGCAUGAAAGCGUGGGUAGCAAACAGGAUUAGAUACCCUGGUAGUCCACGCCGUAAACGAUGAGUACUAGGUGUAGGAGGUAUCGACCCCUUCUGUGCCGCAGUUAACACAAUAAGUACUCCGCCUGGGAAGUACGAUCGCAAGAUUAAAAACUUAAAUGAAUUGAC
RNAcentral lists this ribosomal RNA (547 nucleotides) under uncultured bacterium. Its description in RNAcentral is "partial 16S ribosomal RNA". It matches the Rfam family "Bacterial small subunit ribosomal RNA", at positions 355 to 914 of the family's 1533-position model. The record is from RNAcentral.